UACCAGCACCCCGAGUGGUCGGGACGUUUAUUGGGCCUAAAGCAUCCGUAGCCGGUUCUACAAGUCUUCCGUUAAAUCCAGCUGCUUAACAGAUGGGCUGCGGAAGAUACUAUGGAGCUAGGAGGCGGGAGAGGCAAGCGGUACUCGAUGGGUAGGGGUAAAAUCCGUUGAUCCAUUGAAGACCACCAGUGGCGAAGGCGGCUUGCCAGAACGCGCUCGACGGUGAGGGAUGAAAGCUGGGGGAGCAAACCGGG
Molecule: ribosomal RNA, 254 nt
Filed under: uncultured bacterium
Lineage: Bacteria
Description: partial 16S ribosomal RNA
Rfam family: Archaeal small subunit ribosomal RNA
Source: RNAcentral